This is a non-coding RNA of Anas platyrhynchos (mallard), 1419 nucleotides long. The record is from RefSeq and is a predicted model, not a curated record. Lineage: Eukaryota; Metazoa; Chordata; Aves; Anseriformes; Anatidae.
UGGUUAUACACCUGAGCUGGUCUGGGGGCUUGCUGCUGCUGCAGGGUGUCCUGCUGCUGCCUCCUUUCUCCUUUGUUGAUUUUCCUGCCUUUUUUUUUUUUUUUUUUUUUUUUAAUAUUGCCAGAUUAUCAAGUUGAAAUGAGCUUAAUGAGAAAAUUGGCAAGCAAUGGAGAGGACCACAUGGUUAAGGCACAAGAAUGGGAGGACAGUAGAAGGACACAGAACUGGAAUAACUCUGCACAGCUGCCCUCUGGCAGUUGUUUAAAUUAUAUGAAUCCUGUAAUCUGGCCUACACAUGAGCAUGGGUGUCAUCCCCACACAGCUGUGGAGGCCUCCUUGCAACAGCUCUUCCCUUGAAUGCUUGAGGGUACCCCCAACUUCUCUGAGGCAGGCUAUGGAGACAAGAUAUUCCUAUGGAUUAUUGCACUGACCUUUUUUAUUACGGUUGCCUGUGCUCUUUCCAGGGCCCGUUGCAAUCUUUCCUCCUGCAGCUUCUUCUGUUGCUUUAGCUUUUCCUCUCUGAACCUUUUGAAGGGAAUGAAAAAAGGAUUUAAACGUGCAUGGCUACACAGAGACAUGGCUACACAGAGUACCCUUUUGAUAUAUGUGUCGUCUAACAGUUUACGAGUGCAAAAUCAUUCACAGAACAUCAGGAAGAAGUAUUGCACCCUUUCUACUACAAAGGUGAAGAAAAAUACAGAGAAAGAAACUAAGCAGGAGCAGAAUGUCGCUGUUCUGGCUUUAAAUGCUCAAACUACUUUAUCUUCUGAUUAACCUGGUUCACCUUGGAACGGCCAGAUCCAGUCAGCUCUCCAUUUAUUCCAGCUCUCUUUGCAGUUUGCAAGGGGAACUUUCAGGCCAGAAGAGAAGGGAGGUAUUUUGAAAAAGGCAUCUCAGAACCCCUUGGCUGCUGUUCUGCUUUCCAGCCCAGGACCAUCCCUCCUGCUGCCGGCAGAUGGAGGACCAGGCCUGUCUCUGAAGCCUUGCCUUGUUAUGGAGAAGGUUUGUGAUUUGUGAUCUGCGGCCAAUGUGAUGAACUCAAGAAAAGAGGGAGGUGUUUAGCUUGACACUACCUCAGUAGCUGCACCAAGUUGAAUUUUGGGAAGUAAAAAGUGAUGCAAACAUCUGAGUGAGAAAACUUCAGUUUUGGACAUAAAACGGUAACGUUGCUAAUCUCAAAACCUCCUGUUGUGACAUGUCAUAUCAUCUUGUUGUGGGUUGGCAAGCUUUGAAGUGAUGGUGGGUUUUUGGAAAGCAGCGGAGGAAAGUUAUAUGAAGAUACUUAUAAUGAAGGUUUCUAAAAACAUGAAUGUUUAUGAAUAUAUAAACAUACAUCUACAAUUAGUGGCCACAAUAACACCUCAACCCCAUAAUGAAUGGUUAGAAGGUGAGAGAAAUUAAUAACAUCAAUAAAUGACA